This 462-nucleotide ribosomal RNA is filed under the name uncultured bacterium. Its description in RNAcentral is "bacterial SSU rRNA". It matches the Rfam family "Bacterial small subunit ribosomal RNA", at positions 28 to 507 of the family's 1533-position model. The record is from RNAcentral.
GAUGAACGCUAGCGGGAGGCCUCCUUCAUGCAAGCCGAGCGGUAUUGUUUCUUCGGAGAUGAGAGAGCGGCGUACGGGUGCGGAACACGUGUGCAACCUACCUUUAUCUGGAGGAUAGCCUUUCAAAAGGAAAAUUAAUACUCCAUAAUAUAUUGAAUGGCAUCAUUUGGUAUUGAAAGCUCCGGCGGAUAGAGAUGGGCACGCGCAAGAUUAGCUAGUUGGUGAGGUAACGGCUCACCAAGGCGAUGAUCUUUAGGGGGCCUGAGAGGGUGAUCCCCCACACUGGUACUGAAACACGGACCAAACUCCUACGGGAGGCAGCAGUGAGGAAUAUUGGACAAGGGGGGAAACCCUGAUCCAGCAACGCCGCGUGAGUGAUGAAGGCCUUCGGGUCGUAAAGCUCUGUCGUAAGGAAAAAAACAAAUGAUGGUACCUUACAAGAAAGGACCGGCCAACUUCGUG